ACGGGAGGCAGCAGUGGGGAAUAUUGGGCAAUGGGCGAAAGCCUGACCCAGCGACGCCGCGUGAGGGAAGACGGUCUUCGGAUUGUAAACCUCUUUCAGCAGGGAAGAAGAAAGUGACGGUACCUGCAGAAGAAGUCACGGCUAACUACGUGCCAGCAGCCGCGGUAAUACGUAGGUGGCGAGCGUUAUCCGGAAUUACUGGGUGUAAAGGGUGUGUAGGCGGAGGAGCAAGUCAGGUGUGAAAAUUGUGGGCUCAACCCACAAACUGCACUUGAAACUGUUCCCCUUGAGAGUGGGAGAGGUAAACGGAAUUCCUGGUGUAGUAGUGAAAUGCGUAGAUAUCAGGAGGAACACCGGUGGCGAAGGCGGUUUACUGGACCACAACUGACGCUGAGACACGAAAGCGUGGGGAGCAAACAGGAUUAGAUACCCUGGUA
RNAcentral lists this ribosomal RNA (437 nucleotides) under uncultured Oscillospiraceae bacterium. RNAcentral describes it as "partial 16S ribosomal RNA". It matches the Rfam family "Bacterial small subunit ribosomal RNA", at positions 341 to 792 of the family's 1533-position model. Lineage: Bacteria; Bacillati; Bacillota; Clostridia; Eubacteriales; Oscillospiraceae. The record is from RNAcentral.